RNAcentral lists this long non-coding RNA (1248 nucleotides) under Vulpes vulpes (red fox). RNAcentral describes it as "lncRNA (ENSVVUG00000027416.1)". The record is from RNAcentral. Lineage: Eukaryota; Metazoa; Chordata; Mammalia; Carnivora; Canidae.
GACUUCCAAGGCAACAAGGAAUGUGAUUCAGUGUCCUAAGGAGUUGGAUGUCCUGGCUGGAGGGACAUUAGACAUCUCAUGGUUGAAUUUUCCUAUUGUUCAGUAACUGUGCGAUUUCCCUCCCUCCUUGCCGACUUUUAUGGAAAUGAUCUUCCUGCUGCCUGAAGUGUGUCACUCUGCAUCUUGCCAAGAAGAAAACCUCUCCAUAGAGAAAAUGACCCAUCUCUUCCCCUCUGCAACCAUCUGACUUAAUUAUGCACUGCGCUUGGCCCCUGGAGAGCCCAGCGAAGAACACGAGGAAGUCCUGGCUUGAUCGCCAAGCCCUAGGGUCUUUGUCAAUUAUCAUCUGGCACCCACGAGUCUGGCCAAAUUUACAGGCAUGUCUGUCUCUCAAAACAUGUCAGGCCUGAAGAGUGAUUCACUUUUUUUUUUUUGGAGCCGCUAUAAGUAGAACAAUCUUUUCCAUUAAAACUCACUUUACUGUCUUCUCAACACCCCAGAGCCUCUUGAACACACCUUCCACUCCACGUGUGAUGCCUGGGAGACUGCAGUUGAAUAACAUUACUCCUUUCCCAGGACUCAUGGCAUCUAUGGAGGCGUUGCCGUCUAGAGGAAAGGACACGGGCUUCGCAGAGCCAGCGACUUGGAGCUGCUGCGGAGGAGAUGGGGCUGGUGAGCCCUCCAAGUCAGGAUUCUUGGGCUGUUGGCUUACUCUCAGCACCGCAUGUAGCUGCCUGUAUCUUGGGAAGACUCUGGGAAUUGGAAGAUGGCAGCCAAACAAUGCUCUAAAUGGGUUCAAAUAUCCAAAAAAAUAUAUAUUAUUACAUCGAUCAGGAAUUCUGUUCAAAUUUGACGUCAAAUAUCUGUUUUUGAUGCAUUUCCCCACGGAAAAAAGAGUUGAGUCGUUUGUCUUGAUUUUUGUACAUCCCACAGAGGCCACUUCUUCCUGCCUCAUUAAAUAAUCUUUGCUAAAAUUUGCAACUGGCCCAGACACAAGAUGGUGACAGCAAAAGAGCAUAGGUUUUGGUGUCAGAGGAACUAGAUUUUAACUCCAGCUCUGCCACUUACUGGCUGUGUGACUCUAAACAACCUACUAAACCACUCUGAGGCUUAGUUCUUUUCUCUUCAAGGUAGGGAUGAUAAUACCUACUUUUCUAGCUUGUUGUGAGGUUUAAAUUGUUUGCUGUCCAUAACGCAUAGUGUCUGGCCCACAAUAAAUCCUCAGCAUGUGUUUGGAGGGGCUGAGGA